RNAcentral lists this ribosomal RNA (847 nucleotides) under uncultured bacterium. RNAcentral describes it as "bacterial SSU rRNA". It matches the Rfam family "Bacterial small subunit ribosomal RNA", at positions 11 to 850 of the family's 1533-position model. The record is from RNAcentral.
GUUUGAUCCUGGCUCAGAUUGAACGCUGGCGGCAUGCCUUACACAUGCAAGUCGAACGGCAGCACGGGAGCAAUCCUGGUGGCGAGUGGCGAACGGGUGAGUAAUGUAUCGGAACGUACCUUUCAGUGGGGGAUAACGUAGCGAAAGUUACGCUAAUACCGCAUAUUCUGUGAGCAGGAAAGCAGGGGAUCGCAAGACCUUGCGCUGAUUGAGCGGCCGAUAUCAGAUUAGCUAGUUGGUGGGGUAAAGGCCUACCAAGGCGACGAUCUGUAGCGGGUCUGAGAGGAUGAUCCGCCACACUGGAACUGAGACACGGUCCAGACUCCUACGGGAGGCAGCAGUGGGGAAUUUUGGACAAUGGGGGCAACCCUGAUCCAGCCAUGCCGCGUGAGUGAAGAAGGCCUUCGGGUUGUGAAGCUCUUUCAGCCGGGAAGAAAUCGCACGGGCUAAUACCCUGUGUGGAUGACGGUACCGGAAUAAGAAGCACCGGCUAACUACGUGCCAGCAGCCGCGGUAAUACGUAGGGUGCGAGCGUUAAUCGGAAUUACUGGGCGUAAAGCGUGCGCAGGCGGUUUAGUAAGACAGGCGUGAAAUCCCCGGGCUCAACCUGGGAACUGCGCUUGUGACUGCUAAGCUAGAGUACGGCAGAGGGGGGGUGGAAUUCCACGUGUAGCAGUGAAAUGCGUAGAGAUGUGGAGGAACACCAAUGGCGAAGGCAGCCCCCUGGGUCGAUACUGACGCUCAUGCACGAAAGCGUGGGUAGCAAACAGGAUUAGAUACCCUGGUAGUCCACGCCCUAAACGAUGUCAACUAGGUGUUGGGGUGGGUAAAACCAUUUAGUACCGGA